RNAcentral lists this ribosomal RNA (395 nucleotides) under uncultured bacterium. RNAcentral describes it as "bacterial SSU rRNA". It matches the Rfam family "Bacterial small subunit ribosomal RNA", at positions 505 to 898 of the family's 1533-position model. The record is from RNAcentral.
GUGUCAGCCGCCGCGGUAAUACAGAGGGUGCAAGCGUUGUUCGGAAUUAUUGGGCGUAAAGCGCGUGUAGGCGGCCCGGCAAGUCAGGUGUGAAAGCCCUCGGCUUAACCGAGGAAGUGCGCCUGAAACUAUCGGGCUUGAGUACCGGAGAGGGCGGCGGAAUUCCCGGUGUAGAGGUGAAAUUCGUAGAUAUCGGGAGGAACACCAGCGGCGAAGGCGGCCGCCUGGACGGUCACUGACGCUGAGACGCGAAAGCGUGGGGAGCAAACAGGAUUAGAUACCCUGGUAGUCCACGCUGUAAACGAUGAGCGCUAGGUGUUGUGGGUGUUGACCCCCGCAGUGCCGCAGCUAACGCAUUAAGCGCUCCGCCUGGGGAGUACGGCCGCAAGGCUAAA